RNAcentral lists this ribosomal RNA (497 nucleotides) under uncultured bacterium. RNAcentral's name for it is "partial 16S ribosomal RNA". It matches the Rfam family "Bacterial small subunit ribosomal RNA", at positions 28 to 507 of the family's 1533-position model. The record is from RNAcentral.
GAUGAACGCUGGCGGCGUGCCUAAUACAUGCAAGUCGAGCGAACAGACGAGGCUCUUGCUCCUUUGACGUUAGCGGCGGACGGGUGAGUAACACGUAGGUAACCUACCUAUAAGACUGGGAUAACUUCGGGAAACCGGAGCUAAUACCGGAUAAUAUUUCGAACCGCAUGGUUCGAUAGUGAAAGAUGGCUUUGCUAUCACUUAUAGAUGGACCUGCGCCGUAUUAGCUAGUUGGUAAGGUAACGGCUUACCAAGGCAACGAUACGUAACCGACCUGAGAGGAUGAUCGGCCACACUGGAACUGAGACACGGUCCAGACUCCUACGGGAGGCAGCAGUAGGGAAUCUUCCGCAAUGGGCGAAAGCCUGACGGAGCAACGCCGCGUGAGUGAUGAAGGUCUUCGGAUCGUAAAACUCUGUUAUUAGGGAAGAACAAACGUGUAAGUAAAUGUGCACGUCUUGACGGUACCUAAUCAGAAAGCCACGGCUAACUACGUG